Molecule: ribosomal RNA, 479 nt
Filed under: uncultured Bacteroidota bacterium
Lineage: Bacteria; Pseudomonadati; Bacteroidota
Description: bacterial SSU rRNA
Source: RNAcentral
GAGUUUGAUCCUGGCUCAGGAUGAACGCUAGCGGCAGGCUUAAUACAUGCAAGUCGAGGGGCAGCAGCUUUAUAGCAAUAUAGAGGCUGGCGACCGGCAAACGGGUGCGGAACACGUACACAACCUUCCUUGAAUAGGGGGAUAGCCCAUAGAAAUGUGGAUUAAUACCCCGUAAUAUAGCGGUGUGGCAUCACACUGUUAUUAUAGUUUYGGCGAUUCGAGAUGGGUGUGCGGCUGAUUAGGUAGUUGGCGGGGUAAAGGCCCACCAAGCCUUCGAUCAGUAGCUGAUGUGAGAGCAUGAUCAGCCACACGGGCACUGAGACACGGGCCCGACUCCUACGGGAGGCAGCAGUAAGGAACAUUGGUCAAUGGACGCAAGUCUGAACCAGCCAUGCCGCGUGAAGGAUGAAGGUCCUCUGGAUUGUAAACUUCUUUUAUAGGGGGCGAAAAAAGGUCUUCUAGAUCACUGACAGUACCGU